Molecule: long non-coding RNA, 232 nt
Filed under: Lathyrus oleraceus (garden pea)
Lineage: Eukaryota; Viridiplantae; Streptophyta; Magnoliopsida; Fabales; Fabaceae
Description: Pisum sativum (pea) long non-coding RNA (PSAT_LNC019758)
Source: RNAcentral
AAAAAAGAAAAAGAAAAAAAGGAAUGAAUCACGCAAUAUUUGAGACUAACACGACUCACCCUUAUUAAUUUACACAAUUGUGUUGGCCUCAUACAUCAAAACCACAAAAAAAUCUCAUAGGUAAACACAACUUAAUCGUGUUUAGAAAAUCUAUGUGUUUAUUAGACUAGCGAGUUUCUGAAAACCACUGGUAUGACUCCUCUAACCUGAUAUUCUCAUCACAACCUCAUCU